CCUACGGGGUGCUGCAGUGGGGAAUAUUGCACAAUGGGGGAAACCCUGAUGCAGCGACGCCGCGUGAGUGAAGAAGUAUUUCGGUGUGUAAAGCUCUAUCAGCAGGGAAGUAAAUGACGGUACCUGACUAAGAAGCUCCGGCUAACUACGUGCCAGCAGCCGUGGGAAUACGUAGGGUGCAAGCGUUAUCCGGAUUUACUGGGGGUAAAGGGAGCGUAGGCGGCGAGGUAAGCCAGAUGUGAAAGCCUGCGGCUCAACUGCAGGACUGCUUUUGGAAAUAUCUAGCUAGAUUGCAGGAGAGGUAAGCGGAAUUCGUAGUGUAGCGGUGAAAUGCGUAGAUAUGAGUAAGAACACCGGUGGCGAAGGCAGCUUACUGGACUGUAAAUGACGCUGAGGCUCGAAAGCGUGGGUAGCAAACAGGAUUAGAUACCCGAGUAGUC
RNAcentral lists this ribosomal RNA (440 nucleotides) under uncultured bacterium. RNAcentral describes it as "partial 16S ribosomal RNA". It matches the Rfam family "Bacterial small subunit ribosomal RNA", at positions 338 to 795 of the family's 1533-position model. The record is from RNAcentral.